AAAUAGUUGUGUCAGAGAUCAUAACAGAUAUAUAUAUAUAUAUCUUUAAUAUUUAGCCAUCUAAAAGCCAAAAAUGUAAAACUUGUGAGGUUGAAUCAUGCAAAACAACAAUACUCUCCCUCCAGAUAUUCUUGGCUUGGUAAGAAAAUUCUGAGCUGGAAGGAUUCUGAUUGUGAUUAGUGUUCCAUACAUUAUUUUGUCUUUUGUCUGAAGCAAUGCUGAAUACAACCUCAGUCACUGAAUUUCUCCUUUUGGGAGUGACAGACAUUCAAGAACUGCAGCCUUUUCUCUUCGUUGUUUUCCUUACCAUCUACUUCAUCAGUGUGGCUGGGAAUGGAGCCAUUCUGAUGAUUGUCAUCUCUGAUCCUAGACUCCAUUCCCCUAUGUAUUUCUUCUUGGGAAACCUGUCCUGCCUGGACAUCUGCUACUCCAGCGUAACACUGCCAAAAAUGCUGCAGAACUUCCUCUCUGCACACAAAGCAAUUUCUUUCUUGGGAUGCAUAAGCCAACUCCAUUUCUUCCACUUCCUGGGCAGCACAGAGGCCAUGUUGUUGGCCGUGAUGGCAUUUGACCGCUUUGUGGCUAUUUGCAAGCCACUUCGCUACACUGUCAUUAUGAACCCUCAGCUCUGUACCCAGAUGGCCAUCACAAUCUGGAUGAUUGGUUUUUUCCAUGCCCUGCUGCACUCCCUAAUGACCUCUCGCUUGAACUUCUGUGGUUCUAACCGUAUCUAUCACUUCUUCUGUGAUGUGAAGCCAUUGCUAAAGCUGAGCUUAAUCAGUGGCUGCUCAGUACUGUCACAGGGACAAUCGCCAUGGGCCCCUUCUUUCUCACAUUACUCUCCUAUUUCUACAUUAUCACCCAUCUCUUCUUCAAGACUCAUUCUUUUAGCAUGCUCCGCAAAGCACUGUCCACUUGUGCCUCCCACUUGAUGGUAGUUAUUCUUUUGUAUGCACCUGUUCUCUUCACCUAUAUUCAUCAUGCCUCAGGGACCUCCAUGGACCAGGACCGGAUCACUGCCAUCAUGUAUACUGUGGUCACUCCAGUACUAAACCCACUGAUCUACACUUUGAGGAACAAGGAAGUGAAAGGGGCCUUUAAUAGAGCAAUGAAAAGGUGGCUUUGGCCUAAAGAAAUCUUGAAGAACUCUUCUGAAGCAUAAAUAAACAAUUAAAAAGAUGAGUUUGUAAUUACAUUGUUUCUUAAAUUAUUUAGAAAUGUACAACAGAGGGAACUGGAUAAAACAAAAAUAUAUGGAAAAAUAUGCUGUAGUUGUAUUUAACAAUGCUUUCCUGGAUUAUAUAAGGGACAUUUGAAUGAAUGGGAUACUAG
This is an RNA transcript of Homo sapiens (human), 1332 nucleotides long. It is a transcript of the gene named olfactory receptor family 12 subfamily D member 1 (gene/pseudogene), transcript variant 1, noncoding, with no coding region annotated. Lineage: Eukaryota; Metazoa; Chordata; Mammalia; Primates; Hominidae. The record is from RefSeq and is marked validated. The transcript has a single exon.